RNAcentral lists this ribosomal RNA (484 nucleotides) under uncultured bacterium. RNAcentral describes it as "bacterial SSU rRNA". It matches the Rfam family "Bacterial small subunit ribosomal RNA", at positions 8 to 507 of the family's 1533-position model. The record is from RNAcentral.
AGAGUUUGAUCAUGGCUCAGGACAACGCUGGCGGCGUGCUUAACACAUGCAAGUCGAACGGUGACCCAGGGCUUGCCCUGGUGAUCAGUGGCGAACGGGUGAGUAACACGUGGGCAACCUGCCCCUGACUUCGGGAUAACUCCUCGAAAGAGGAGCUAAUACCGGAUACGACCACUUCGGACAUCCGAUGGUGGUGGAAAGUUUUUCGGUCAGGGAUGGGCCCGCGGCCUAUCAGCUAGUUGGUGGGGUAAUGGCCUACCAAGGCGACGACGGGUAGCCGGCCUGAGAGGGCGACCGGCCACACUGGGACUGAGACACGGCCCAGACUCCUACGGGAGGCAGCAGUGGGAAUAUUGCGCAAUGGGCGAAAGCCUGACGCAGCGACGCCGCGUGAGGGAUGAAGGCCUUCGGGUUGUAAACCUCUUUCAGCAGGGACGAAGCGAAAGUGACGGUACCUGCAGAAGAAGCACCGGCUAACUACGUG